Homo sapiens (human) is the source of this 1839-nucleotide long non-coding RNA. The record is from Ensembl. NCBI's taxonomy places the organism in Eukaryota, Metazoa, Chordata, Mammalia, Primates, Hominidae.
GUCCGCCCACCUUGUCCCUGCCCUCCUCCCGGGGAGGAGUCGCCGCUCCAGCGGGAGGCAGGAUGGUUGCUACCUGGGGCGGCCGCCAGCUCCUCCCGCAGUGCUCCGGGCCGCCCCUCACCCCAGGGUCGCCCGCUCCUAGUGUGGCCCAGGCUUCCCGGCCUGCCCCUCCCAGCCCUAGGAAGACGUCCCCCGGGCCCCCUCAGCCCUCCGCCUCCCCUUCUCUCCCUUUCUCCCCGCUCCUGGCAGGCUGCAGCCGUCUCCUCCCGGUGCUCGCUCCUUCCUUGAGCUCUGUCCACCGCUGCCCACUGGGGGCUAGAGCUUCCCGGCUACCCUGGAAGCUGGAGGCUGGGACCAGCUCUUCAGGUGACAGGCCUCUGUGUCUCCACAGUGGCCAGAGGGGAGCCUGCCUGACUGAUGAGCAAGGCUCCACUUUGUCACCAAGGCAGAGAAGGGGCCCGGGUAAAUGACCCCGGUGGCCCCCACCCCUGCCUGGCAUGAGAGUGGGUAGGGGCUUCGGACUUGAGGGGACUGGAGCGGGAAUAAGGGUCUUCUCUGGCCCAGCCUUUGACUGAAGCUGGUCUGGAGACAGGGGCGUUAGAGAAGUGACUCAUAGAUGGCCUAAAUAAGCGGGGCCACUCAAGGACCCAGGACAGGGGGAAGAGGGCCAACCCAUCUGGACCGCAGGCAAACCCCAUGGCCUUUGAGAGAAGAGAGAAGAGGACCCGGUGAAGUAGGCUCCGAGGGCCUCAGCCCAGCAGGAGCGCAGGGUGGGCGCGUGAUGUCAUCGAAGGGAAGACAGUGACCUGGGGGAGGGCCGCUUUGAGGGAGAGUGCAGGCCACCGCCAGAGAGCUCUGGGAGCCGAGGGCAGGGAAGACUUUCAGAUGUUGCUUGUCCAAGGGGUGGGGGUGGAAGGGAGAGAGAGCAGAGGCUCGAGAGGGAUGUAGGAGAGCUGAUGGCACUUUGGGGACAGCCUCAGGGCUGCAAUUGAGGAGGGCUCCCUCCCUCAUGCAGGCUUUUCCUCCAGGAGCUGCACCAGGAACUCACAGAGGAUCAGGGAGAAUUCUGAGAACAUGCUACUGUGGUGCUGCCUAGAGAGGAAGGAUAAAUGAUGACAAGUACAUCUCUGAGUAACGUAUGGCCACUUGUUCAUGAAAACUGUUUUUCUGAAAGCUUGUGAAGGUCUUGAAAUACUCGCUAUCAGUUGAGGACAAACAUUUACACCCUCCUUCCACAGGGAGUUCAAGCAGGCUGGAUGGGUCCAUCUAUGGAUGAUCUUCCCCAGCCCCUUCCUCUUCCCAGCUCAUUCCUGGCUCUCUGUGUGAACAGGUCUCAUCAGUGGAAUGUGGUUGAUGAAGUGAGGUCUUCAAUUUUCUCAUCUACUGUGUGGUCAUGUUAUUUUCCUCAUCUGAGGCUUAAAAACUCACCUGCAUGCAGCACAUGACAGCUUAAAAUCUCUUGUGAACAAAACAGUAACAAAGACACCCACCAGCGUUGAGCAUCCCGUGUUGAUGACAGCGACCACCAUGGGUCAACGUCCUCUUCACAAUCCUGUGUCAGAGCAUCACUUGACUGAUUUCAUUAGCAACUUCCCAGGAGAAUCAGCUUACAAAAUACUUGUCCCAUUUUCCAUGCAGAUGUAACCCAUCUAUUUUACUGAAGAAAUGGGAAGAGCUGAAUGCUGAAUACACUGAAUGUCUGCAGGUUGUGCAAGUUUGUGACUUUAUCACUUUCUAAUUUCUGAUCUGUGUGGACCACUCUACAGAUUUUUCUCACUGGUGUGAUCAGCCUUCUGGAUGUCAAAUAUAAUAGACUUUCAACAAUAUAAAAGUCAACAC